AUGGCGCCCUGCCCUGGCGUCGCGGGCGUGCACGCGCGCUGGACGGCGCGGGCGCUGGCCGGCGCCUUCCUCGACCUCGCCAUCGUCUACGCCUUCCUCUGCGCCGCGGCCGCCGCGUCCGCGGCCUCCGCCCUCCUCGCGCUCUUCCGCCUCCGCCUCCCCUGCACCUGCUCCCGCCCGCACCUCCCCUGCCUCUUCGCCUUCCUCUUCCGCUACCCCUCCCGCGUCCUCGAGUCCCUCCUCCUCUCCCUCCGCUCCCGCUUCCCCUUCGUCUUCAACUCCGACGACGACAGCCUGGACGAGGGGGAGGACGAAGACGAGUCCGUCGAUGAGGAAGAGGAGGGGGUGAAUCUGAAGCGGGAGGUGGACGAAGGGAAUGACGUCUCGGCGCUGCAGCAGGAGCUGGACAAGGAACGCAGCGCCGCAGCAUCCGCGGCCGAGGAGGCCAUGGCGAUGAUCCUGCGUCUGCAGAAGGAGAAAUCGUCCUUGGAGAUGGAGGUGCGGCAGCAGCGCCGCACCUCUGAUGAGCGCUGCGCCUUCUACGAGGAUGAGGUGGAGGAGCUCAAGGACAUCUUGCUCAUGAGGGAGCGCGAGACCAGGUCUUUGCAGAAAGAGGUGGAGUCCUACCGGCGGAUGCUUGGUCUCACCGGGGAUGAUGAUGACGAGGAGGUGGAGAUGAUGACGCCGCACAGUUACUUUCUAGAGGGCGAGCCAAGCUCUUCCAGAUCGGUUGAUAAGAAUGCGGGGGUUCAACCUGGGAAUAAUUCUGUCUUCAGCUUCCAGAAGCAGUUCGUGCGCCAACAAGUGUCGCCCAUUCGUGUGGGUCGUGUUAAGGAUGGGAAUGAGGACAGUCUGCCUUUUCAGGCACUUGGAGAAGUUCCUGUGGUCGGAUCGAAAUUGGGGGCAGAUAGAUGCGAAGAUGAUGGCACGGAGACGGUGGUAGUUCUCCCCCUAUCUGCCCGGAGUUUGUGCUUGCCCCAAUCUGCACGAUGUCUGGAUCAAGGUGGUGAUGUUGAAGUUAAUGCUGCAGCUGGUAUGAAAGGUAUGGAAGAGCUGACUGCUGAUGAAUUUCAGGAGGUGGACAGUGGGCGUCUGGACAAGACUUGCCAUGAUUUUGCGGCAAGCGACAAUGAUGCAAAUAUAUUUGAUGUGCAUGUUGUUGAUGAUAUUUGCCUCUCCAAUGAAGUUAAAGGCCUGAUCGGUCGAAGCUUCUCUGAUGCAACAAUGCAAGCAGACAAGUUGCAGAAUCGAGCUGCCGCAGAUGAUCUCCUGGGGAAAAGUCUGAAUGCGAUCAAAGGUGCACAAAACAAGAUAAGGCUUGCAGCAAGUGAAAGGAGGCAAUCGUUACAGUUGCAACUCUUAGAGGAUAUAGCUGACCAACUUCAAGAAAUCAAAGAUGUUGCAGAUGCAGGGCGACACUUACACUGUAUUUCUCCUAAAAUUUCAAAGAAAAGCUAG
This 1458-nucleotide ribosomal RNA is filed under the name Triticum aestivum (bread wheat). RNAcentral describes it as "partial small subunit ribosomal RNA". The record is from RNAcentral. Lineage: Eukaryota; Viridiplantae; Streptophyta; Magnoliopsida; Poales; Poaceae.